GACGAACGCUGGCGGCGUGCUUAACACAUGCAAGUCGAACGGAAAGGCCCUGCUUUUGUGGGGUGCUCGAGUGGCGAACGGGUGAGUAACACGUGAGUAACCUGCCCUUGACUUUGGGAUAACUUCAGGAAACUGGGGCUAAUACCCGAUAGGAGCUCCUGCUGCAUGGUGGGGGUUGGAAAGUGUCGGCGGUUGGGGAUGGACUCGAGGCUUAUCAGCUUGUUGGUGGGGUAGUGGCUGACCAAGGGUUUGACGGGUAGCCGGCAUGAGAGGGUGACCGGCGACAUUGGGACUGAGAGACGGACCAGACGCCUACGGGAUGCAGCAGUGGGGAAUAUUGCGCAGUGGGGGGAAGCCUGAUGCAGCAACGUUGCGUGCGGGAUGACGGCCUUCGGGUUGUAAACCGCUUUCGCAUGUGACGAAGCGUGAGUGACGGUAAUGGGUAAAGAAGCACCGGCUAACUACGUG
This 468-nucleotide ribosomal RNA is filed under the name uncultured bacterium. RNAcentral's name for it is "partial 16S ribosomal RNA". It matches the Rfam family "Bacterial small subunit ribosomal RNA", at positions 28 to 507 of the family's 1533-position model. The record is from RNAcentral.